UCCUACGGGAGGCAGCAGUAGGGAAUCUUCCGCAAUGGGCGAAAGCCUGACGGAGCGACGCCGCGUGAGCGAAGAAGGCCUUCGGGUCGUAAAGCUCUGUUGUGAGGGACGAAGGAGUGCCGUUCGAAUAGGGCGGUACGGUGACGGUACCUCACGAGAAAGCCCCGGCUAACUACGUGCCAGCAGCCGCGGUAAUAA
This 198-nucleotide ribosomal RNA is filed under the name uncultured Geobacillus sp. RNAcentral describes it as "partial 16S ribosomal RNA". It matches the Rfam family "Bacterial small subunit ribosomal RNA", at positions 337 to 526 of the family's 1533-position model. Lineage: Bacteria; Bacillati; Bacillota; Bacilli; Caryophanales; Anoxybacillaceae. The record is from RNAcentral.